UGCCAGACUGAACCGACAUUUGUCAACAAUAAUAUGAUCGCCAUUAGUAGUACUGAUAUUACUGAUAUCUUGGAAGGGAUCCAACUCCAGAAUAUAGGAGGAUGCAUGAUCGGAACCUGAAAAAUACAACUUCCCAUUGCAAGCAACGCCAGCAGUUACGAUAUCAAAAUAAUUUCGUAGGCCGCAUACCACAUUAGCGGACUCCCUCCAUUCACCGGUCUCAGAAAAGAAGAUGUCCACAUAGAACUCUUGACGUAGUCGCACAACCCUCCACCUAUAUUCAGCAUUAAUGGAAACUCAUCAUCGAAGGUGGAAGAUGAGUUGUAGUUGUAGUAGGGAUCACAAAUGAACCCUACGCUUACCCAAUUAUGGAUUCGAGGAGGGGGAGGAAGAGCAACCCAUUUCUUGGUGUAUGGAUUGCAAAUGUAAUAAUCACGUUGAUCAAGUUCGCUUGGGCAGCACAAAACUAAGUCGUCGCACGCCCCUACCACAAAUAAUUUUUGUUCUGCUGCGGCUUCUGAAAUAACAGGUAGCUUCAAACUCAUCAGACCAUCCUCGUCUUCCACCCGAAAGAAUGUUCCAUUGUCUACAACUAUUGUACCUAAAUUGGGCGUUUUCAAAUCACGUUGGCGACGUACAUAUUGCCCAACAAAAUGAGAACUAGAGAUGAGUUCACACCAACGCUUGGACACGCACUUGCAUUGGAAAAC
RNAcentral lists this long non-coding RNA (710 nucleotides) under Prunus dulcis (almond). RNAcentral describes it as "sRNA ncRNA". Lineage: Eukaryota; Viridiplantae; Streptophyta; Magnoliopsida; Rosales; Rosaceae. The record is from RNAcentral.